CACUUCUUAGCCUAAGACGGUGUGAUGAGUAUCGCACAAUAGGGAAUAGGGGUGAGGGCUUAAAAUCCCAACUCCCAAGCUGCCCCCGCAACUGUAAGCGGCGAGCCUGUUUUUCAGAAUGCCACUGGAGCCGCCAAAAGCGAUGUUCUGGGAAGGCGAAGAACAGGCCUUGACCCGUGAGCCAGGAGACCUGCCGUCGAAGCUGCCGUUUG
This is a regulatory RNA element of Elstera litoralis, 212 nucleotides long. NCBI's taxonomy places the organism in Bacteria, Pseudomonadati, Pseudomonadota, Alphaproteobacteria, Rhodospirillales, Rhodospirillaceae. The record is from Rfam.